This 72-nucleotide transfer RNA is filed under the name Ovis aries (sheep). It matches the Rfam family "tRNA". From Rfam's summary of the family: Transfer RNA (tRNA) molecules are approximately 80 nucleotides in length. Lineage: Eukaryota; Metazoa; Chordata; Mammalia; Artiodactyla; Bovidae. The record is from Rfam by way of RNAcentral.
UCCCUGGUAGCUCAGAUGGUAAAGCAUUUGCCUGCAAUGUGGAGGACCCGGGUUCGAUCCCUGGGUUGGGAA